CGAGUGGAGGUAUCAGACAUGUGAGGCAAUUCACCAGACCGGCCUUAGAGUCGGGUUGUUUGAGAAUGCAGCCCAAAGCGGGUGGUAAACUCCAUCCAAGGCUAAAUACUAGCACGAGUCCGAUAGCAAACAAGUACCGUGAGGGAAAGUUGAAAAGUACUUUGAAGAGAGAGUAAACAGUACGUGAAACCGCAUGCAGGUAAACGGGUGGCGUCAAGCUGCAAGCCCAGAGGAUUCAGUCGGCUAGAGUGUAGUGAAUGCGCCUGCGCAUCGAAUGGCCAGUGUAGGAUUGGAUAGUCUACUGGAAGACAGUGGGCCCUACCGUAAGGUAGGGAUGUGCGUACCGGGCGUCGGCCGGAACACGCUAUCCGUCUAUUGGGCUGCCUAGCCGGUGCACUUUCUCUGUGGUGAACACCACGACCGGUGGAACUGCCAGUCUGUCAGUGUCAAGUCGUAGUGGGCGGGCUUUCGGGUCUGCCUGCUGUGAUCACGGGCGUACUCGGUGAACGGCGUUGGUGCAUCUUUACGGUGUGUCAACGUGUUAUCGGCUACUGGUCGCUUUAUCGGGCCUGCCUGAUGCAUGUCUUAACCGUGUGUUGGGUGGUCUGGUGGACUUUGAUGGUAAUAAUAACUGUGCAGGGCACCGGAGUUUUCGGCCUCAAAUGCAGUCUGCAUGCAUGUUAUGAGUGUAUUGUGUUUGUGGGUGUCGUCGCGGGCUGGCUGUUGUUGGAUUUGAUUGUCGUGUUGCCUACGAAAAGUGGGCCCGGCAGUAGUUCGAUGCAGGUUGGUCUCGUUGGCGGUGCUUGCGAUGUAGACUGUGGUGGGCCAGAUAGUCUGUGGUGUAGUGGUAGACGAGCUACCCGACCCGUCUUGAAACACGGACCAAGGAGUUUAACAUGUGUGCAAGUCAUAGGG
RNAcentral lists this ribosomal RNA (915 nucleotides) under Clydonobothrium elegantissimum. RNAcentral describes it as "partial large subunit ribosomal RNA". It matches the Rfam family "Eukaryotic large subunit ribosomal RNA", at positions 215 to 698 of the family's 3401-position model. Lineage: Eukaryota; Metazoa; Platyhelminthes; Cestoda; Rhinebothriidea; Echeneibothriidae. The record is from RNAcentral.